Molecule: long non-coding RNA, 519 nt
Organism: Leopardus geoffroyi (Geoffroy's cat)
Lineage: Eukaryota; Metazoa; Chordata; Mammalia; Carnivora; Felidae
Exons: 2
Source: RefSeq, a predicted model, not a curated record
CACAACCCCUCCUCCCCCACCGCGAGGACACUGAUAGCUGUCGCCCCGUGUGUGGGAAGCAGGGCUCAGGGCACAGGGCACCGGGCAGCCUCCACCUAAGGGACCUCGGCCACCACCUGUCAUCAGGGAGCUACUGCGCAGGCAGGCAUUCUCGGGCCACCCUCGCCGCCCAAGGGCACCGCCGCGUGCACAGCCCCGUCCAGGGAUGGCGACCUGGGGUCAGUGGACACCUGCCCUCCGGGGGCUCCCGUCUGGUGGUGGAGUGAGGGCGCACCGGUGGAAACCGAGGCUGGGAGAAGCCGUCAGCGGAACCGGAUUUUUACCCCAGUCUGUAUCGUGAGCAGCCACGGCCCUGGCCCCCACUUGCCCGGGGCGCCCUCCCCACGGGCAGCUGCACCCUCUCACACGCGAGAAAUCGAGACUGCGGGGAAAGGGUGCCUGCGACGCGGCCGCCCGCAGGGCCCGAGGAAGCAUCUGGGCAAACACUUUGCAAAAUGAAUAAACGAGCCCAAAAGCUGA